CCUGGUGGCGAGUGGCGAACGGGUGAGUAAUAUAUCGGAACGUGCCCAGUCGUGGGGGAUAACGCAGCGAAAGCUGUGCUAAUACCGCAUACGAUCUCUGGAUGAAAGCGGGGGACUCGCAAGAGCCUCGCGCGAUUGGAGCGGCCGAUAUCAGAUUAGCUAGUUGGUGGGGUAAAAGCCCACCAAGGCGACGAUCUGUAGCUGGUCUGAGAGGACGACCAGCCACACUGGAACUGAGACACGGUCCAGACUCCUACGGGAGGCAGCAGUGGGGAAUUUUGGACAAUGGGCGAAAGCCUGAUCCAGCAAUGCCGCGUGCAGGAUGAAGGCCUUCGGGUUGUAAACUGCUUUUGUACGGAACGAAACGGUCUCUUCUAAUAAAGGGGGCUAAUGACGGUACCGUAAGAAUAAGCACCGGCUAACUACGUGCCAGCAGCCGCGGUAAUACGUAGGGUGCGAGCGUUAAUCGGAAUUACUGGGCGUAAAGCGUGCGCAGGCGGUUAUAUAAGACAGAUGUGAAAUCCCCGGGCUCAACCUGGGA
RNAcentral lists this ribosomal RNA (541 nucleotides) under uncultured Rhodoferax sp. RNAcentral's name for it is "bacterial SSU rRNA". It matches the Rfam family "Bacterial small subunit ribosomal RNA", at positions 84 to 619 of the family's 1533-position model. Lineage: Bacteria; Pseudomonadati; Pseudomonadota; Betaproteobacteria; Burkholderiales; Comamonadaceae. The record is from RNAcentral.